Long non-coding RNA from Alnus glutinosa, 1990 nucleotides. RefSeq lists it as uncharacterized. NCBI's taxonomy places the organism in Eukaryota, Viridiplantae, Streptophyta, Magnoliopsida, Fagales, Betulaceae. The record is from RefSeq and is a predicted model, not a curated record. The transcript is spliced from 2 exons.
UCUCUCCUUUUCCUUUUCUUCCUUCCUCUCCCCUCUUCACGCACACACCACUCAUUUCUCUCCCUUUAUUUUCUUUCCUUCAUUUUUCCCCCUUCCUCACGCCACACCUCGCUUCCAUUUCUCCCUUUCUCAUUUCUUGCUCUACCCAUAACAAAUCGAGAGAGUGAUUCACGCAGGAAUGGUGAGAGAACUCGAGUUGCAGAAAUUUACGAAGAAGAGGAGGAGAAUAAAAUGGGUCGUGUCAUAAUUGGAGACUUCAAUGGGUCCUCCAAUGUAGAGUUUGAGUUGUAGUCCAAUGCAGCUAAUGUGAGUAUUCUACUCACUAAGAAAUUAUUAUUUUUAUGUAUUAUGGAUUUACAAAAUAUAUAUGGUUUUAUAAAUCUGAACCGACUGUAUGUUGAAAUAUAUGUUUUUGAUGAUUUGAGUAGUUUCGAUUAUGUUCAAACUAUAUCAAUGAUGUUUAUGAAAUGAUGCAUGAAUGAAGAAUAUUGAAUUAAUUUUAAGAGUUUGAAUGUGUGCUACGGUUGGGAUUUGAAUUAUGUAAAGAAAAAUGAUAACAAUGCAUGUUGAUUGAUUUAUUGUUUGAAGAGAGCAUAAUUUUCAAAGAGGGGUAGAUUAUGGAAUUUGAAUUGUAAAGCAUAAAGCAUGAACAUAAUAACGAAAGAGAGGGUAAGCAUCGUAAUAAUGAAAGAGAUGGUAAGUCUCAUAAUAACGAAAGAGAAGGUAAGUCUCAUAAUAACGAAAGAUAGGGUAAGCCUCAUAAUAAUGAAAGAGAGGGUAAGCUUCAUAAUAAUGAAAAGAGGGUAAGCCUCACAGAGAAUAAUAAGACUAUCAGGAGCAUGCAUAACAUAGUUUACAUGUGUGUGCUAUUUUUAUGAUAUGUAUAUUUCUAUUGCAUGAUUUAAAGGCAUUGAGCUUUAAUAUACUUAGAUUACUCCGCUACUGGAUUUGAGUAAUGUAAGUGUCUUGCGGUAAGUAGGUGAAAUGUUAUUUGUUCUUCAGUAAAGACGUGCUUGCAUAUUGGAGUUUCACUCUAGUGCUCGCAUGAUCACCUGUUAUUCAAAGGCAGGAAGCUAAAAUGCACUCGACACGAAGUUACUCACAUUUGGCAACGUUGUAUCUUUGUAUUGCUGAGUAAGAUGCCAUUAAUUUGUGCUCAAUAUACUUAGAUUACUACAUUACUGGAUUUGAGUAAUGUAAGUGUCUUGCGGUAGGUAGGUGGAAUGUCAUUUAUUCUUCAGUAAAGACGUGCUUGCAUAUUAGAGUUCCACUCUAGUGCUCGCAUGAUUAGCUGUUGUUCAAAGGCACAAAGAUGUAAUGCACUUGACACGAAAUUACUCUUAUUUGGCAACGCUGUGUCUUUGUACAUUUGAGCCACCAAAUCAUAACAAUAUUAUAGUAGGUGAGAAUGUAUGUAGUUGCUUCCAAUGUGGGAUGGCUGGAACUUCUAUAUAUGUUCACAGCUACAUAGUAUGCUUUAAAUGUUUUCUAUUAGUCGAUGUUUACUAUAUCAGCUAUGGGGUUUUUCAAACAAAGUUUAUAAAUUGAUAGCUGUUAUAGUGUACUCGAGACUAAAAAGGAAAAGUUGGUUUUUCGCGAAAACUUAGUGAAUAGUAUACCUUUGAGGUCUUAGUGUAUUUAUUUAUGCUAAGACGGUGGGCUCAUAAUUUCACCUAUACGGAUGUGGGAAACAUCUACAACCGUAUAGAUGAUGAUCCUUUGGCUAUAGGUAUUCCGGUCAUAGUUGAUGGUGUUAUAGUAGUAUACUUGAGAUAUUAUGACUGAAGCUUACCGCGACGGUUGUAAUCAUUCGACCAUGAGUUGUCCACUAUUUUAUAGGUUUGUUUAUGGUUUGUGACGUUUGUGUCACUUGUUGUAUAAAGUCAUUUAUGUUAUGUAUAUAAUUUUAGGAAAGAUUUAAUCAUAUAGUUAUUUAAUGGCUCUUUGUUGUAAUUAUUUGUGAUAGAUGUAUAAGAUGUGAUUUCCGCUA